This is a non-coding RNA of Procambarus clarkii (red swamp crayfish), 132 nucleotides long. Lineage: Eukaryota; Metazoa; Arthropoda; Malacostraca; Decapoda; Cambaridae. The record is from RefSeq and is a predicted model, not a curated record.
GAGUCACAGUGAUGAAUCAGUCAUAGGGAUGAGUUAGUCAGCAGAGCAGGUGUGGGUGAACGCUUUGCAGCGGGCGACAGUGUUGGAGCAGGUGUGGGUGAACCCUUUGCAGCGGGCGACAGUGUUGGAGCA